This 372-nucleotide long non-coding RNA is filed under the name Chinchilla lanigera (long-tailed chinchilla). Its description in RNAcentral is "lncRNA (ENSCLAG00000025534.1)". The record is from RNAcentral. Lineage: Eukaryota; Metazoa; Chordata; Mammalia; Rodentia; Chinchillidae.
CUCCUACCAGACGAUAGCUCCAUACAUCAUUUUACUAGAAGAGCCUGAUGCCUACAGAAUUAUAACAACAACAGACACUUUUAUGGAAUUUACAGAAAAUCAGUGGACAACCUUUUCCAUUGUACAUGAUUUUCCAGCCAGGAAAGGAUGGACUAGAUUAUCUGAAUUUCUGCGUUUCACAAGGAAAGAAAAAAUCUUGCCUAGCUGAGCGUGACAGUAUCCCCAUCUGUGAGGAACUGCUCUGGAAGCACUGAUGCAAGGAACAAGUGAUCCCCAGCAACUGCAAGGCAUCCCCUGACCUAAAUCAAAGGAUCACCCAGCACCUGCCACUCAUGAGGUUCCUGCCCGCAAAGGAAUCAUAAAAAAAGAAAU